GACGAACGCUGGCGGCGUGCUUAACACAUGCAAGUCGAACGGAAAGGCCCUGCUUUUGUGGGGUGCUCGAGUGGCGAACGGGUGAGUAACACGUGAGUAACCUGCCCUUGACUUUGGGAUAACUUCAGGAAACUGGGGCUAAUACCGGAUAGGAGCUCCUGCUGCAUGGUGGGGGUUGGAAAGUUUCGGCGGUUGGGGAUGGACUCGCGGCUUAUCAGCUUGUUGGUGGGGUAGUGGCUUACCAAGGCUUUGACGGAUAGCCGGCCUGAGAGGGUGACCGGCCACAUUGAGACUGAGAUACGGCCCAGACUCCUACGGGAGGCAACAGUGGGGAAUAUUGCACAAUGGGCGGAAGCCUGAUGCAGCAACGCCGCGUGCGGGAUGACGGCCUUCGGGUUGUAAACCGCUUUCGCCUGUGACGAAGCGUGAGUGACGGUAAUGGGUAAAGAAGCACCGGCUAACUACGUG
RNAcentral lists this ribosomal RNA (468 nucleotides) under uncultured bacterium. Its description in RNAcentral is "partial 16S ribosomal RNA". It matches the Rfam family "Bacterial small subunit ribosomal RNA", at positions 28 to 507 of the family's 1533-position model. The record is from RNAcentral.